RNAcentral lists this ribosomal RNA (454 nucleotides) under uncultured bacterium. Its description in RNAcentral is "bacterial SSU rRNA". It matches the Rfam family "Bacterial small subunit ribosomal RNA", at positions 28 to 524 of the family's 1533-position model. The record is from RNAcentral.
GAUAAACGCUGGCGGCGUGCCUAACACAUGCAAGUCGAAUGAUCCCGCAAGGGAGAGUGGCGGAAGGGUGAGUAACACGUGGGAAUCUACCUCCUCGCAGGGAACAACCUCUCGAAAGAGAGGCUAAUACCCAAAAGGGUCAGAAAUGAUCAGAGUCGAAAGGCGUGAGGAGAGGAGCCCGCGGCCCAUCAGCUAGUUGGUGAGGUAAUGGCUUACCAAGGCUACGACGGGUAGGGGAUCUGAGAGGAUGUCCCCCACACUGGAACUGAAACACGGUCCAGACGCCUACGGGUGGCAGCAGUGAGGAAUAUUGGACAAUGGGCGAAAGCCCGAUCCAGCAACGCCGCGUGGAGGAUGAAGGCCUUCGGGUCGUAAACUUCUUUAGAGGGAGACGAGAAAGGACGGUAUCCCUAGAAUAAGCGACGGCAAACUACGUGCCAGCAGCCGCGGUAAU